UACGGGGGGGGCAAGCGUUGUUCGGAAUUACUGGGCGUAAAGGGCUCGUAGGCGGCCAACUAAGUCGGAUGUGAAAUCCCCAAGCUUAACUUGGGAACUGCAUCCGAUACUGGAUGGCUUGAAUCCGGGAGAGGGAUGCAGAAUUCCAGGUGUAGCGGUGAAAUGCGUAGAUAUCUGGAGGAAUACCGGUGGCGAAGGCGGCAUCCUGGACCAACACUGACACUGAGGAGCGAAAGCCAGGGGAGCAAACGGG
This 253-nucleotide ribosomal RNA is filed under the name uncultured bacterium. RNAcentral describes it as "partial 16S ribosomal RNA". It matches the Rfam family "Bacterial small subunit ribosomal RNA", at positions 524 to 776 of the family's 1533-position model. The record is from RNAcentral.